UUACAAGGCUUUGAAACUACAAAACUUUAAACACAAAUUAAACGAUGUUCUUUUGGGGUUUUAUGAUUUAUUCAACUUGGUGUGCAAGAAAGUGAAGAGACAGUGGAAAAGGAAAGAGAGAGGAGGAUCAAGCAGAGCUUAGGGACACUUUCACUGCUGCUGAGAAGUUUAGAAGAGAAUUAGAAUUUUUACAAAAGGGUAGUGAUCCGUUAGAUUUACAAAAGGUUCCGAUGUUCAAUCCCUAACAACGGCUAGGGUAUCUCAAUAAGCGGUAUUAUUUGGGUUGGAAGCAGUUUUGGAUUUCGAUCGAUGCCAUCCGUCAUCGCCCCUGCAUCAACUGCGUCACCCUCUCUGCACACCGCAUCGUCUGUACUCAGUACAAGGUUUAUGUGUUUUCUUUCAUUUCAUCUUCUUUUCUUAUUACGAUCUUUGUCAUCUAUGUUUUCGUUGGUUUUAAAUGUUGCAUUUCAGGCCUGUUUGCUUUGUGAGAGAUUGGAUACGAAAACUGUUAAAUGACGGUUUUAACUAGAGGACGGUAUAACGAGUGUAAAAUGUUGUUUCAGCUGAACUAAAUUUAUGAAGGAUUGACGGAUUGGGUGGUGAGUUUUUGAAGUUUUAGUGUUUAGGUUUGUGGUUUUUGAUCGAUUCAUUUGGUUUUUUAAAGCGACUUUAUGAAAGCUUGAUGGAUUGAGCUUAAAUUUUUGAAGUUUCAGGAUUAAUAUUUGUGUUUCUUGAUUGGUUGGAUGAUUUUCCGGCGUUUGGUAAUUACAUAUAUAAUCUUUAAUGGUGAAAAACAUAUAGAUAGACUUCAACUAUAUGCGAAGCAAAGUUCCAUUGAGUCGCGCGGGUAUGCUUGCUAUUUUAGUUUGAGCAGACCAUUAUGACGUUCUGGAGGAAGUUAUGAUGGUGUGUAAUAUACUUCAAUGUCUUAUUGAUCAUGCGACUCAAUGGCCGAGAUGUUACUCUUACUAAAGUGUAAAGUAGCUAUACACUGGUUCUAUAAAAGUGGCUGAUAACUGAGUCUGCUUUCACUUGCCAUUUGGUGAGUGCAGCCAUGGUGCGCACGUUCUCAUAUGUUAAAUGACAAUACAAAGUGUAUUCUUUGCAAAGGCAUCAAUGAAUACAUGUUUGCCUGUGCGUUUGAGCAGCACAGAGAGAAGGGUGUUGCCACGAUGUUGCCGGUGGCUCUGGCCAUCUAUGAUGUUCCAGGAUUGCCCCCGCUAAACAUAAUUGAAGACAUGAGUUAUGAAAAGAACACGCGCAAGUCAACUAGGGCUGACAUUGAGAGACAGAUACAAGAGGAAAUCGCUAAAUCACGCGUUAGACAAGUUGAUAGUCAGGGUAGGGCUUAUGGUACUGGGAAAAAGGAAAUGUAGGAUUGCGCGUGUUUGAUUAACGAGCUGCGCUUCUUCGUCCUCUUUCGGAGACUAAAACAUUGGGUCUUCUUGAUGUUAGUUGUACUGUUAAAGGAGGUGGUAUCUCAGAUCAAAUUGGUGCAAUUCGGCUUGGUAUGCGUAGGGCCUUGCAAAACUUGGCACCAGAUCAGUUCUGUCCUCCGUUGAAAGAAGGUGAAUGAUAUGUGGUCAUGCUUAGUUUCUUGCAGAAGUGUCUCUGCUGAAGGAAGCGGUGUUACUGUAGAAGGAUCUGCUACAUUCCCGGAAGAGGCUAUUGCAACUCCUCAUGUUGCCGAGACCAAGGCUGCAGCUGAUGAGGGUGAUGAUAGUGAUGUGGAUCUUUUUGGUGAAGAGACCGAAGAGGAAAAGAAGGCUGCUGAAGAUCGUGCAGCUGCUGAAGAUCGUGCAGCUGCAGUGAAAGCAUCUGGAAAAAAGAAAGAAUCUGGUAAGCCUUGGGAUGAUGAGAUCGAUAUGCAAAAGCUUGAGGAGGCUGUUUGAAUUCAAUUGGUAUAUUUGGUUUUAGAUGUAUUUUUUUCUAAUUUUAGCUCUUAGUCUCUGAACUAUGUAUAUGUGAUGAAUCUUUGUUAAAAGUUCUUUUUAUCUAGAAACAAAUUUAAGAAAAAUCUUAUGACUCAAAUUUAGUGGAAGGUGAUGGUGAUACUAAUGGUUUAAAUGUAGUUUCUCUUAAAAGCAGGUUGAAGAAACGGGACUCGACUGUCACUGUCUCAGUUGCAGAAAAUAACCGCUAUAUGGUUGAACCCGAGCCCAUAUAACAAAGUGCUAGAAUGAGCGUGCAUUGGUAACAAACUUAUUCUUUUGUGGACUUUUUUUGCGGGUACUACUUAUCGUUCAACAUUUUUUGCCAAAGAAUAUAUACGAGUCGAAAAGAGAUAUAUAUUACAUGCAUCCUUGGGUGUUCUUAAUGUUUUCCACAUUAGCUAAAAGGUGUUGUUUCUAAGAUGUCUAGGUUAAAUCUCAAGUGAUAAAAACAAAGUUUAUUGAUUUAGGUAAAAUCCGAGAUGGUUAUUUUUUUAGUUUUUAAGUAUAUACUCCUUUUUUUCCGGCGAAUCGACGAGUGACUAAGCUUGGUUGGAUUUUUACCUCACAAAGAUCGUUCAGAAAUAAAACAAGUCCGAGUAAUU
Molecule: RNA transcript, 2536 nt
Organism: Helianthus annuus (common sunflower)
Lineage: Eukaryota; Viridiplantae; Streptophyta; Magnoliopsida; Asterales; Asteraceae
Gene name: elongation factor 1-delta 1
Exons: 9
Source: RefSeq, a predicted model, not a curated record